ACGGCUCAGUAACRCGUAGUCAAUCUGCCCUAUGGACGUGGAUAACCUCGGGAAACUGAGAAUAAUCCGCGAUAGAUCAUAAUGCCUGGAACGGUUUAUGGUCCAAAUGAUUCGUCGCCAUAGGAUGGGACUGCGGCCUAUCAGCUUGUUGGUGAGGUAAUGGCCCACCAAGGCUAUUACAGGUACGGGCUCUGAGAGGAGAAGCCCGGAGAUGGGUACUGAGACACGGACCCAGGCCCUAUGGGGCGCAGCAGGCGAGAAACCUUUGCAAUGUGCGCAAGCACGACAAGGUUAAUCCGAGUGUUUCCUGCUAAAGGAAUCUUUUGUUAGUUCUAAAACCACUGAUGAAUAAGGGGUGGGCAAGUUCUGGUGUCAGCCGCCGCGGUAAAACCAGCACCUCAAGUGGUCAGGAGGAUUAUUGGGCCUAAAGCAUCCGUAGCCGGUUCUGUAAGUUUCCGGUUAAAUCCACUAGCUCAACUAAUGGGCUGCCGGAAAUACUGCAGAACUAGGGAGUGGGAGAGGUAGACGGUACUCGGGAGGAAGGGGUAAAAUCCUUUGAUCUCUUGAUGACCACCUGUGGCGAAGGCGGUCUACCAGAACACGUUCGACGGUGAGGGAUGAAAGCUGGGGGAGCAAACCGGAUUAGAUACCCGGGUAGUCCCAGCUGUAAACGAUGCAGACUCGGUGAUGCACUGGCUUUUGGCCAGUGCAGUGCCGCAGGGAAGCCGUUAAGUUUGCCGCCUGGGAAGUACGUACGCAAGUAUGAAACUUAAAGGAAUUGGCGGGGGAGCAC
Molecule: ribosomal RNA, 793 nt
Filed under: uncultured archaeon
Lineage: Archaea
Description: bacterial SSU rRNA
Rfam family: Archaeal small subunit ribosomal RNA
Source: RNAcentral